This 65-nucleotide transfer RNA is filed under the name Dipodomys ordii (Ord's kangaroo rat). It matches the Rfam family "tRNA". From Rfam's summary of the family: Transfer RNA (tRNA) molecules are approximately 80 nucleotides in length. Their secondary structure includes four short double-helical elements and three loops (D, anti-codon, and T loops). Lineage: Eukaryota; Metazoa; Chordata; Mammalia; Rodentia; Heteromyidae. The record is from Rfam by way of RNAcentral.
GGUGACUCAGUGGUAGAGUGCUUGCUUUGCACGCAUGAGGCCCUGGGUAAGAUUCCCCAGCACCA